Molecule: long non-coding RNA, 1357 nt
Organism: Oncorhynchus gorbuscha (pink salmon)
Lineage: Eukaryota; Metazoa; Chordata; Actinopteri; Salmoniformes; Salmonidae
Exons: 3
Source: RefSeq, a predicted model, not a curated record
AGGAGUCAGCCCAGUGGAGGAGUGUCGUAAUGAAUUAUGGGCGUAUUCUGCCAAAGGAAGGAACCGGGCCCACUCCCCCUGCAUGUCCUGGCAGUGACUCCCUCAGGAAUCUCCCCAGCUCCUGGAUCAUCCUCUCCACUUGCCCGUUAGACUGAGGCCGGUACCCAAAAGUGAGGUGGACAAUGACCCCCAGCUUCUCUAUGAAGGCUUUCCAAACAUGGGACUUGAAUUUGGGGCCGUGGUAAGAAAUUAUGUCCUCCGGAAGGCCAUAGUAACGGAAGACCUGCUGGAACAGUGCCUCAGCGACCAGGAGAGUGGUAGGUAGACCAGAGAGGGAUUAAACAGCAGGAUUUAGAGAAUCUGUCAACAACCAGAAUAGUGGUAAAACCAUCAGAAGGGGGAGAUCCGCAAGGGGGAGCCUUCAGAAGGGGAAGCCUAUGGAUAGAUCUGACAAAGGCCGCUGAGGCACGGGAAGGACCUAUCCUCCACAUCCACCCUUCAUAAGGCCAAGAUAUUGCUGUGGUCACCCACCUGACCCAACAGGCUUCAACACACAUGGAAGAGAUCCACACAGCAGAUAUUUGAACAUACUGGGCCCGGAAUGAAGAUCAGCCCUGAGACAAAGUCCUGUGGUACCCAACGGACCAGCUCCAAGUCCUGUGGUCCAGAACAACCCAACAGUGGAGCCCCUGUUUGUGAGGUCCAAGACCAGCAGAAAAGCCUGGCUUGGUUUAGGGCAUAAGGCCCAACUCCCGGUUGACACCAAAUCUGUAAGAUUGUCAUUUCUCACACCCUGUCCAGAAAGAGUAGAAUAAUAUACAGAACUUUUGCACACCGAAUUGUUUGGCAACGGUUGAGGGAUAUGGUCGGAGAUUGUCAUCUUCCACAGGUCGUCUGGGAUCAGACACUAAAUAGAUGGAUAGGAGCUGGAGGCAAACUUAUUAAAAUAAAACUGACAGUCAUUGUAUUUGAAUGGUGAGCAUUUCAUAGAGUAUGUUUAGAUGUAAAUUGCAUUUAUUUCAUUUGAGCAAGCCUUCACCAGUGGAGAACAGGUUGUGUAUCCUCCCAUGGGUAACAAUAGUAGCAUGUACUCUGAAUGACAGGUUAAAGUCUCAACUUAAUUCUACAUGAGGCUUAACUCAUACUGCAUCAGCCAAUCAUGGCUCUGCCUGGUGUUCAACACCCAACAUCGGCUGUUUGCGCUCGACCAUUUAGCCUGAGAAUACACAAUUGAAUAUUUUAUCCAUGUUUAGAAUGCUGGGCACUGCCACGUACAAUAUGUGCAUGUUACGUAGUAAAUAGUGUGGUGUAGACUACAGGAACCCCAAUUUAAAAAAAUGAAGUGUCAAGCUUACCA